This is a long non-coding RNA of Numida meleagris (helmeted guineafowl), 1197 nucleotides long. RefSeq lists it as uncharacterized. Lineage: Eukaryota; Metazoa; Chordata; Aves; Galliformes; Numididae. The record is from RefSeq and is a predicted model, not a curated record. The transcript has 4 exons.
UGGGAUCACAAUAGGAAAGAGUUUGGGAAAGUGCCGCUGAGAGUUUAGGAAUAAACAACUCCCAUGGGCAGGCUGUCCAUAAUUGGCCAUGACAAGGCUUCUUUCUCCAGAGAGCUGGAGCUGGCCUGUGAGGAAGCAGAAUGAAUCACUGCUUUGGUCCAAUUUGGCAAGUGCCGUGAUUUAGCCCUGCUUUGCACGGGAGGAGAUGAUGAUACAGACUGAAAGGCAGGAGAAAUGUAGCCAAAGGCUUCCAAGCUGGGAGAUGAGUUUGGGUUCCCGCUCAUUUCUUGUCGGUUUACUCAGAUCCUUAGAAAGAAACCCAGGCAAAAACCACUGAUACAAAACAGUUCUCUUUAUCAACAAUGUAGAGGAGACAAUGGGGACUCCUCAACACAAAGCUCAUACAAACAAGAAUAAACAUUUUAUUUUGCAUUGUUAAAAUAGCAUUCAAUAUAUAAGACCUCCUUCCAACCCUCAGCUUUGUUAACUAUUUCUGUUGACUUUCUGCUUCCGGAUACAGAUUUACAGGGGGAUAUCAUAGAGGUUGGAACUGGUGUCCUGCAGCAUGAUAAUGCCCACGUGGCUGUGCAGCCUUCUGUGAAGAGGAGGAUUGAGUGUGGUUUCCUCAAGCUGCCCUGUGCCCUUGGAAAAGUCCCAUCUUCUUCUGAAUAUGAGGAAAAUGGAAUACCGUCAGCUGAAGAUCUUCCUAACCAACCCCACUUCUAUCCCCAGUGCAAAGGAAGAAGGAAGCUUCCUUCAAAGCAAGAUCCUUCCAAAAAGAAGCCACAGAUAAUCUUUAUUUCCAUUGUCCCUUCUCCUGCUCCUUCGGAGAGCAGGCAGAUGAAACAAAAAUCUUCACUGAAACAUGAAAGAGAGGUAGCUCAAGAAAAUCAAAUCUGCUUCUUGUAAUACUGUGGUCAGGGAAGCUGCAUUAAGGACUGUGGAGUGCCAGACUACCAACGAGAUGUGAUCUGUCAAAGUGCCAUGGGCAGAAACUGAUCAUUGAGUUGAAUAAGACACAGAAGUUUCUCCUCUCCAGGUCCUGCUAAGAGAGUGAAAAGGUGCCUGUAGAUAACUUGUCCCCACCACCUCGGUGGCCCUGAGACCCCAUGAGAGGUGCGUAUGGAGGCUGGGAAUAAUCCUCCUCUCUUUCACAAGUGCUACAUGCUGUUGCAGCCCACACAUGACUUUUGCUCC